GAUGCAAGCUCAGUUUCUCAGGCAGAAGAACAAAGGUGUUCAAUCUGAUACUGUGCCCAGUGUUAAAAGAGGAAUCCAGAGGAUCUGGUAAACUGAUUCAGGAGAAACAAAAGAGAUGCAACCUGAGCAGCCUCCAGAAAAAUUUUUCACCCUGGCAACACAAAUGAAUCAAGAUUCUUCUGUAAAGGCAUUGACUCCUAUAGGUGACACUAAGAGGCAAUAGUUCAACUUCAAGCCAAUUGGGAGAAGUUCUUCCUGCUAAUCGCUCAUCUCUUUCUUCCUUUAAGAGUCAAUCUUUAAUUUUGAAGCGUCCGAGUGAUCUUAUCGGCAAUGAGAAAAAAAUUUUGAUGCAUGGAAGGAAAAAUAUGCAACAUCAGGAUCAUGAAAUAACUGAUAUGACUGGUUAUUCUAUACUAAAUGAAAAACCAAGCAAAGAAAAACUUAUAGCACCUUGUUCUGCUAGGAAGCGUAAAUUAUUAAACAUAGAAAAUGCUGCGAUGCAACAAAUUGAAGUUUCUCACUAUCAGUCAUUUGGUGCAAAGAAGUUUGAAACA
Molecule: long non-coding RNA, 554 nt
Organism: Quercus robur (English oak)
Lineage: Eukaryota; Viridiplantae; Streptophyta; Magnoliopsida; Fagales; Fagaceae
Exons: 3
Source: RefSeq, a predicted model, not a curated record